CCCCUUGGUCGCUAUAGACGUCCGAGACUUCCGAGGGAUUUUCGCUAAGUCUCGAACAAGCCUCAUUUAAGACUUUCGCUAGAUUCAUUAAUACAUAUAAUCACGUGCGUAAGUGAAUAUUAAUAAUUAAACUAAUAUCUACUUCAUUCAAAAUAAUAACAACUCACGUUUAUGAGUUAACAACAUUUUUCAACAUCUAGCAAUUUUGUUCCGACACAACCCUAAAUAGCGGAGCAACUCGAAGCGGGGUUAGGAGAUGCCUUUACCUACUCGGCGGUGGUUCGUACGCAUUGAUGAUUACACGUUAGACUGAUCUCUAUCUGCAAAAAGAGGAAAUAAAAAGGGUGUGAGUCUCAUAGACUUAGUGAUCAUUAUCGACCCCGUGAGCAGGCGAGGAGGGAAAACAAACAUAAAGGUGGAAUGUUUAUAAAUCCAAGAGUAAGCAUAGAAAAUACAUUCCAUAAAACUGAGAGAUUUUGUUUUUAUACCUUUCAAUUCUAAAAAAUAAUAAUUCACAAGUAGACAUAUAUGAAAACAGUUUUAUAUAAGGUAUUAGAAAAUCUUUCAACCCUGACAUCCAGUCAACAUUUAAAUUCAAUGACAAGUGAAAAAUGAAGAGUCUCAAAUAUAAAAAGGUAAAAAAAUUGAUCACCAAUGAAUAUGUAAAUUUCACUUGUCAUUAAUAAAAAUUUUCAAGUGCUAAUGCCAUGCAUAGUGAAAUAAAAAUCCACAAGGGAGCAUUAUCUUCGAGGAGGAUAAAUAUAGCCCUUAGGCUUACUUUUUCGACAUCAUCACCUACUCGUGGGAACUGCCCAUGCCACCAAAUGAAUCAAGGCUUCAAGUCUCUCUUUUUACUUACUCGUGGGAACUACCCAUGCCACCAAAUAAAUCAGGGCUUCACAUCCCUCUUUUUACCUACUCGUGGGAACUACCCACGCCACCAUACAUAAAUCAAGGCUUUAGGUCCCCCUUUACCUAUUCUUGGGAACUACCCACACCACCAUACAUAAAUCGGGGCUUCAAGUUCCCUUUUAC
This 1035-nucleotide long non-coding RNA is filed under the name Theobroma cacao (cacao). RNAcentral's name for it is "long non-coding RNA (TCAC_LNC003708)". Lineage: Eukaryota; Viridiplantae; Streptophyta; Magnoliopsida; Malvales; Malvaceae. The record is from RNAcentral.